RNAcentral lists this transfer RNA (76 nucleotides) under Clostridia bacterium. Its description in RNAcentral is "tRNA-Thr". It matches the Rfam family "tRNA". From Rfam's summary of the family: Transfer RNA (tRNA) molecules are approximately 80 nucleotides in length. Their secondary structure includes four short double-helical elements and three loops (D, anti-codon, and T loops). The record is from RNAcentral. Lineage: Bacteria; Bacillati; Bacillota; Clostridia.
GCUAUCAUAGCUCAGUAGGUAGAGUGCGUCCUUGGUAAGGACGAGGUCCCGGGUUCGAUCCCCGGUGUUAGCUCCA